Non-coding RNA from Vicia faba (fava bean), 183 nucleotides. The record is from the annotation of a GenBank genome assembly. NCBI's taxonomy places the organism in Eukaryota, Viridiplantae, Streptophyta, Magnoliopsida, Fabales, Fabaceae.
AUGAUAACAAAUGAAGAAGCCCGUGUAAAUUGUUUGAACGAGAAAUUGGCUACGAUAAUAUCAUUAGGACAAGGCAAUGCAGUUGAUCCUGCUGCUCAUUAUGCUGCAGAAUACCUAUGUUAUUGUUAUAGACUUGAAGAGAAAAAUAUCUCUGCCCAAAGACAAUUGAAGAGAAAAACAUGA